GAUAUCGCGUUGAUGAGGAGAAGUAAGAAAAGGACGCUUAGAAGAGAGAACCAUCACCGGCUGAAAGUGGUUCAGGCCUCUCCCUUUCUGAAAUGCACCUCAGAGCCCGCUGCUGAAAUAAGUAGGCAGCGGCGGUUUCCUGCCGUUAACAGGUCGAGGUGGAGGAGAUUUAUGCUUCUCAAUCAGAGUGGAACCGCGCUGCCGAUGCGUCUCUGUC
Molecule: non-coding RNA, 217 nt
Filed under: [Bacillus] enclensis
Lineage: Bacteria; Bacillati; Bacillota; Bacilli; Caryophanales; Bacillaceae
Description: Bacillus enclensis T-box sequence
Rfam family: T-box leader
About the family: Uncharged tRNA acts as the effector for transcription antitermination of genes in the T-box leader family. T-boxes are found upstream of many aminoacyl-tRNA synthetase genes and some amino acid biosynthetic genes usually in Gram-positive bacteria.
Source: RNAcentral